UGCAAGUCGAGGGGUAGCAGGGUAGCAAUACCGCUGACGACCGGCGCACGGGUGAGUAACACGUAUCCAACCUUCCAUAACUCGGGGAUAGCCUUUCGAAAGAAAGAUUAAUACCCGAUAGUACUUUUUUAGGGCAUCUUAGAAAAGUUAAAGAUUUAUUGGUUAUGGACGGGGAUGCGUUCCAUUAGAUAGUUGGUGAGGUAACGGCUCACCAAGUCUUCGAUGGAUAGGGGUUCUGAGAGGAAGGUCCCCCACAUUGGUACUGAGACACGGACCAAACUCCUACGGGAGGCAGCAGUGAGGAAUAUUGGUCAAUGGGCGAGAGCCUGAACCAGCCAAGUAGCGUGAAGGAUGACGG
This 358-nucleotide ribosomal RNA is filed under the name uncultured Bacteroidales bacterium. RNAcentral describes it as "bacterial SSU rRNA". It matches the Rfam family "Bacterial small subunit ribosomal RNA", at positions 56 to 414 of the family's 1533-position model. Lineage: Bacteria; Pseudomonadati; Bacteroidota; Bacteroidia; Bacteroidales. The record is from RNAcentral.